GAAAUGCGAUACGUAAUGCGAAUUGCAGAAUUCAGUGAAUCAUCAAAUCUUUGAACGCAAAUUGCGCUCUCGGGAUAGGCCUGGGAGCACGCCUCUUUCAGUGUCGUUUCUCACAAACUCAACGGCGUUCUUUUUUGUUAAACGCAAAAACAGAGCGCGCAGUUGGAGAAUGAGCGUCCCGCUUUGGAUCACCCAUGAGCGAGUCGCUUUAAAUGAAGCGAGGCCUUGCGUUGCGUGUUCGCCGCCUCACUGGUGACGUGGAUAAUUUUCCUUUACUGGGAAUAUUUACGUUCACUCAGUGCGGGUGCUGUUGGACGGCAGCCAAUAGAAAAACAAGGCUGUAGAGAAUCUUAAACUCUGUCACAAAACAAGACCUGAAAUGAAGCGAGAGUACCCGCUGAACUUAA
Molecule: unclassified non-coding RNA, 407 nt
Filed under: uncultured fungus
Lineage: Eukaryota; Fungi
Description: sequence contains ITS1
Rfam family: 5.8S ribosomal RNA (bases 1-106)
Source: RNAcentral